GGCUGGUUUGCUCAGAUGGUUAGAGCGUGGUGCUAAUAAUUCCAAGGCCGUGGGUUCAAUCCCCAUACUGACCA
RNAcentral lists this transfer RNA (74 nucleotides) under Perca flavescens (yellow perch). It matches the Rfam family "tRNA". From Rfam's summary of the family: Transfer RNA (tRNA) molecules are approximately 80 nucleotides in length. Lineage: Eukaryota; Metazoa; Chordata; Actinopteri; Perciformes; Percidae. The record is from Rfam by way of RNAcentral.